This 18321-nucleotide long non-coding RNA is filed under the name Vitis vinifera (wine grape). RNAcentral describes it as "long non-coding RNA (VVIN_LNC000268)". Lineage: Eukaryota; Viridiplantae; Streptophyta; Magnoliopsida; Vitales; Vitaceae. The record is from RNAcentral.
UUGGAGGAAUUUGUGGGGUGGAUGGAGAGAGAGGGCGAAGAGAGAAAGAUGGAGGAGUUGAGAGAGGCUUUUAGGAUGUAUGAGAUGGAAGGGAGUGAGUGUAUUACUCCAAAGAGCUUGAAGAGGAUGCUGAGUAGAUUGGGGGAGUCGAGAAGUGUGGAAGACUGCAGUGUUAUGAUCCGACAGUUUGAUGUAAAUGGGGAUGGGGUUCUGAGCUUUGAUGAGUUCAAGCUCAUGAUGCUUUAAUAUUGUUGGAUCAUCUUUUAUGUGAAUGUUGUAUUCUUUUUAGAUUUAAAAACAGUGGAUUGUAUUCAAGAUUCUUUCUAUACAUAGGAUUAUAUAUGAUUUUUUCUUUGUUUUUGAGUCAAUAAUGUUUAUGUUUUGUGAAUGAAUGAUUGUUUGGGGGCAAUCUUUAAGAGGAUGUUUGGAACUGUGAACCAAAUUUUGUAAGUCAUAUGAAAGGUCAGCUGGCUUUGCAUCCAGUACAGAUGGAACUUCAUGUGAAUGUUAAAAGUAAAUUACUUACAAAGUAAAGAGGAGUCAAAUUCAAUUUCUAGGAUGGUCAUUUUUUUUGUAAUAAAUAUAUAACAAAAUAAUUAUAAUCUUAAUAUAGCAUGAGCAUUAAUUAAAAUCAAUUUAAAUUAGAAAGUUAUCCUUUCCAUGGUUAGAACAGCUAAAACUCUAGGGUUUGGAACUAUUUUUAAUAAUGGUUUUCUGUUCUCUAGAGUAAAAAAAUUAUAGAAAAUCAAUCAAAAAUUAUUUUCUGUUCUCUGUUCGAACAAAAAUCAAGAUGUUUUCAAAAACCAUCUUUUAGUUGUUUUUUAUUGUUACAUUUGCUUUUUUUUUUUUUUGAAGGUUUUUUUAAGAAAUAAUUAUAUAAACAUAUAAAAUGAUUAAAAAUAAAAUACUAAAUGUAAAAAUUAUUUUUAAAAUUAUUAAAACAAGUUAAAAAUAUUUUUCAAAUAUUUUUAAUUACUCUAUUUGAAUGAAUCAACUUAACUUAUUUGAAAGAAUGAAUAAGUAAAAAUAAAUAAAAAUGUUGAUAAAAUAAAAUUAUAAGAGAUGAAAUUAUAUGGAGAAUAUGAUAUCUAUUCUUCCAUUUAAAGUAAAUAUAAUAUAUAUACAAAAUUCAAAUGAUUUAUAGAACAUAUAAUCACUUCACAAAAUAAAGUUUUAAAAUAUGUAAAAAUAAAAAGACCUAGCAUUGAAAGAAAAUUAAUAAAAGUAUUAAUUUAAAAAAAUUAAGCUUAAAAUAAUAAUAAUAAUAAUAAUAAUAAUAAUAAUGAAUUAGGCUUUCAAAAUUAUUUAGAUAAUAAAAUUAAGCAAAAGAAUUCAUAACUAAAGACUAAGGUGAUAUUUUUUUAAAAUUUUUGUUGAAAAUAAUUUGUUUUUGGAUUUAAUAUAAUUUUUUUAAUUUAUUAUUUAUUUCUAUUUUUUUUAUUGAAAUGAAAAAGUUAAAAUAUUUAACUUUUUUUUAAUGCUAAAAGUGCAUUAUCAUAAUUAAAGUAAUUUUUUUUUUUUUUACUUUUUAAUGCUUAAUAAAAAUAAUUAAAAAAACAAACAAUUUAAUACAUAACACUAUUAAACACCUUUUAGUUUUAAAUUCUAUUUAGAAUAAAGUCAAAAAAUUGAACACUACCUAACACUUUACGUGACAUCCCACAUCAGAUAUGGGGGGAAAGUUCUUGGUAUGGACUCAUCGUAAUCCUGUAAACACGUUUUAAAGUUGUGAGGGUCUCUUUAGGUCCAAAGCGGAUAAUAUUUACACGGUUGGGAGCAGACCAUUACAAACGAUAUCAAAACCGAUCCCUGACCUCGGUGUGAGGUUUGUUUGAGCUUAUAAGAGUAUUUGUUUGUUUAACCCCAUAAUCCCGUAAGACACAACGAAAACGUUGUGUCUGCAUGGGGGUGACUUUUAAAGUCGUGAGGUAUCUACACCAUAUAAAAUAAAUAAGUAGAAAUAUUAUUAGUGUAAUUGAAUUUUAUAUUUUGAAAUUAUAUUGAUAUUUAAAAAAAAUAGUUAAAUAAAAAUUAACUUCCGAUAUUGUAUUUUAAAAAAAAUGCACAACUCUUCCUACCUUUUUUUUUUAGUACAUCCAUAAAUCAAGUUAAAAGUUAGCGGGUUGAUUAAAAGUUAGCAAGUUGAUGUUUGAAAAUUCUAUCCACGUGAUAUUUGAUGUUAAAAGAAAUGGAACUUUAAUAUGUUUAAUAAUUUAAAUUAAGUGAUUAAAUUAUUAAAUUAAGUUAUCAAAUAUUUUUAAAAUUUUCUAAUGUGUUAAUUAUGAUAAAGAAAUUAUUUUUCCAUCUUAUGUAAAAAAAAUAUUUGAUAAUAUAUUAAAAAUAAAUGUAAUUGGGAAAAAGUUUAGAAGUUGUGUCAUUCAUCCAUGCUGAGGUGUAGGUGGCAGUGUGUAGAAGUAGAUAGGUUGUUUGAACUUUGAAACUAGUUCUGACGUUAGCUUGUUGUUCUACAGAAGACCACUAUUUUUUAUUUUAUUUUUUAUGUUUUAAUUUUGUAAACAUGUUUCUCGUUUGUCGCACCAUUCCCACCACAUGUCCAAGUGGAUUGAAAAAGCAAAAGGCCAGAACAAAGUAUUCGUCUACGAAGCGGUUUUGACCGUUGUACAGUCAAUAAUCUAGAACAUACGCAUUACGUGACGUCUCCAGCACUCGCUUCGCUUCAUUCUCCAGAACUUCCUAGUAAAGUCUCGAUUCUUCACUCUCAAAAUCUCUAUACCCAACAGCUCCAUCUACUCCUUUUACGCGUCCCCACAACAGCUAUAUAUAUGCACACACAAAGUGUUCAUCCUCACAUCUUCACAUCUUACUACAAAUUAAGUGUUAUUUACAUUAAUUUUCAUUAACAUCCUUGUGUUGCCACAUCCAUGAUUAACUGCGAUGUGUAUGAACGCAUUUUCAAGCGCUUCGAUGAAGAUGGUGAUGGGAAACUCUCUCCUUCGGAGCUCCGAUGCUGCUUGGGGACGAUAGGGGAGGAGCAGCCGAUGGAGGAGGCGCAGGAGGUGGUGGAGUCGAUGGACUCGGACGGAGAUGGGUUGCUGGGAUUGGAGGAAUUUGUGGGGUGGAUGGAGAGAGAGGGUGAAGAGAGAAAGAUGGAGGAUUUGAGAGAGGCCUUUAGGAUGUAUGAGAUGGAAGGGAGUGGGUGUAUUACUGCAAAGAGCUUGAAAAGGAUGCUGAGUAGAUUGGGGGAGUCAAGAAGUGUGGAAGAGUGCAGUGUUAUGAUCGGACAAUUUGAUGUAAAUGGGGAUGGGGUUCUGAGCUUUGAUGAGUUCAAGCGCAUGAUGCUUUAAUCUUGUUUAACAUCUUUUAUCUGAAUGUUGUAUUUUUUUUUUUAGAUUUAAGAAGAGUGGUUUGUAUUCAAAAAUUAAGAUUCUCCUCAUUGCUUUCCUCGUGCACAUGGUGAAGAAAAUACUCCCUAUUCUAUAUUUGAUUUUGCAUAAAAAUUCCUUUUACGGCAAAGAGCAAGUGUGAUAAAAUUUAAGUUGAUUUUUAAAUUAAAUUGUUAGUUCAAAUCAUUUUCUCUCUGUGUUUGUAAAAUACUCAUAUUAAAAAUAUUAUAAAAAUACAUAAUAUUAUUACAUAAAAUAAUAAUGAAAUAUAUAUCAUGGAAAAAAUGAAGUAUUAAAUUAUUUUAUAUUUUUAAAAAGUUAUUUAGUCUAAGUUAUUGUUUUGCAUUAUUUUAACUUUAAAUUAUAUAGAAUUAAUUUACCAAUAAGCCUAGACCCCAUUUGAAAUAGAGUUUAACUUUUGCCCUAAUAAUAAAUAAGUAGAAGUAUAAGUAUUAUUAGUGUAAUUGAAUUUUAUAUUUUGGAAUGAUAUCUAUCCCCGCAAAUUUAGGCAGUCUUGUAAAAUAAGUAAAACUAUUGAAAAAAUAUGAGAAUAAAAAUUUUGCAUUAAAAUAAUUAUCGGGGUGCACAAUCCAUAGGACGAUAAUGAAUUGGAGUUCAAGAUCAAUUAAGGACCUUUUUUUUUUUUUUUUAAGUGGGAAGUUGUUUUUCACAAUUUUAUCAUUGAAGGAAGUUAUCUGUAUUUGUAAGUGAAGUUAGAGAAUUAAAUUUGGAAUACCGAAGAUUUGAUUAUUUAAUUCAAGAAGUUUGGUUUCUUAAAGUUAACAACUUGUCUAAUUUAUUUAGGAAAUUAGUCAAUAAGAGAAUAUUUAUUUUCAAUUUUCUUUUGAUUUUGUCUUUUUUUAUUGAGGAAAUUUGUUAAUAAAAAAUAUAUAUUUUUAAUUCUCUCCUAAACUUUAAUGAUUUGAUUUAAUUUUAUUUUGUAAUACUUCUAAAUUUCAUGAGGUGUCACAUUUGAAUAGUCAUAGAAGUGCCUUCACAAAUGUAAAUAUAAUUACAUUUGAUCUCAUUGUAACCAUAUCGAGAAGUCGAUACACGACUCAUAUUGUAAACUCUCCCUAGAAGUUGACUACACACUUAUUUGGUAAAUUACAAUAGUAAAAGAAAAAGAACACAAAAUAUGCACCUAGCCCAAAGUUGGAUGAGAUUUACUUUUGUGAAUAUUAACAUUAACACUAUGUUUGGUUCAUAGAACAUUUGAGAGAAAGAAAAUAGGUAAGAAUCGAAAUAAAAAAAAAAGAAAAAGUUAAGAAAAAUAAAAAAUAAAGUUGAAGUCGAUAAAUUAUUUUUAUUUACUACUAUAAACUCAUUUUAUUUAUUUUAACUCAUCAGUAUAAGGAUUAAAUAAUUUAAAUUUUAAAAAUGUAUAAAUUUUUAAUUAAUUUUAAUUAUAUUUAAUUUUCUUGAAAAUUGUUUCUAGAACAAUCAAAUAUAAGAAAAUCAUUUUUUUAAAUAUUUUUUUUAAUACUUUUCGUGCACCAAAUAUAACUUAAAAGUAUUUUUAUUUUUUAUAUAAAAUAUCACUAUCCUAUUAUUAAACAAAUCAAGGGUCUGUUUAAAAAUAAAUUAUUUUCCAUGGGUAUAAAUAUCUCAAAAAGAUAAUAAAAAAGCCACAUUUAAUUUACUAAUAUAAAAAAGUCCACACCUGAUAAAUCUUUUCCACCUCAUGUCUAGGCAGAUAGAAGGGAGAAAGAGACCAAAAAGACAAACUAGCUUUCUGUGGCGGUUGAGUGUUUUGACCGUUGUAGAUGUAAUUCUAUCUCAAUUUAAUCCAGGCAGCUUCUCACUUUCUUCCCCCAAAAAAUCCAUCAAUUACGCACUCCCUGACACCGUGAUCCAUGCUUUCUUCUUCUCAUCUUCAACUUCAAAACUUCCAAGUUUCCAAUCCUUUUAUGCGUCUCAUAAAGCUAUAUAUAGACUCACAAAUUGUUAUUCACAACACUCCAAGCAUCCAAGUUCUUGCGGUAAGCAGCCAUGAUUAACUGCAGCAUAUAUGAACGCAUAUUCAAGCGCUUUGAUGAAGAUGGUGAUGGGAAACUCUCUCCUUCGGAGCUUCGAAGUUGCGUGGGGACGAUAGGGGAGGAGCUGCUGAUGGAGGAGGCGCAGGAGGUGGUGGAGUCGAUGGACUCAGACGGGGAUGGGUUGGUGGGUUUGGAGGAAUUUGUGGGGUGCAUGGAGAGAGAGGGCGAAAAGAGAAAGAUGGAGGAGUUGAGAGAGGCUUUUAGGAUGUAUGAGAUGGAAGGGAGUGGGUGUAUUACUCCAAAGAGCUUGAAGAGGAUGCUGAGUAGAUUGGGGGAGUCGAGAAGCGUGGAGGAGUGCAGUGUUAUGAUCAGGCAGUUUGAUGUUAAUGGCGAUGGGGUUAUGAGCUUUUAUGAGUUCAAGCUCAUGAUGCUUUAAUAUUGUUUGAUACCUUCCACAUGAAUUUUAUAUUCUUUUUAGAUUUAUAAAGAGUGAUUUGUAUUCAAGAUUCUUUCUACAUAAGGGUCUCCAACGGGCCGGGCCGGGCCGUCCGGCUCGGAGGAGUAAGACCCAUGGCCCAGCUCGAGGCGGGCCACUGAGUCAACGGGCCAGGCCGGGCCGGGCCCUUGGUAUAUCUAAGGCCCGUGGCCCAGCCUGUGGGCCCUCAAGCUGGGCGGGCCGACUGGGGAAAAAAUUAAAAUAGUUUUUAGUUUUGAAGGGAAGAGGUUCGAAAUCCCCUUCCCUUAUGGAUCCAUAAGGGAGCUAGCCACCAACUGAGCUAGUCCUCUUUUGUGUAACUAUUUUGCAUUAGUUAUAUAUAUAUAUAUUAGAAAUGUUGUAUGAUUUUUGAAAAAAUAUAAAAGUGAGUUGGCUGUUCAACGGUCACAUGACUCACAUGACCGUUGAACAUGUCUGCCACUCAAUUCAAUAUUAUGACCGUUGAACGAUCUUGAUUAAAAAAAAAAGAAAUAAUAAAUCCUAAUAUUUAAAUCUCUAUAAAUAUUAAAUACCCUCAAUUUUUUUCUAUUCUCUCAACUCUUAAGCUCUCUCCCAUUCCACAAUAUUUCCGAUUAUUGCAUUUUAUCUCAAAUUAUUCAAUAUUAUUGAUGGUGAAAAACAAGCAUUGGUGGUUCAAAAAGUUCAAAUUUGAAGGAAUUUCUGCUUCGGUUCUCUAAUUUAGUAACAUACUUCACCUUUACUUUUAUUUAUUUGUUACAUUUUAAUUUUACAUUUAUUAUUUUUAGCAUAAUAUUUUAUCAAUAAUUAUAAUUAUGGCAAGUGGUUCUUGUUCUUCAUCUAAUACAUGUGAUAGCAAAAAAUUUACAUCAAAUAUAUGGAAUUUUUUUGAUAGAAUAGAAAUAAAUUUAGAAAAUAAUAAAAAAGAAAUAAAAGCAAAAUGUAAAAUUUGUAACAAACUUCUUAGUGGUGGCUCAAAUGCAGGUACAAGUCAUUUAAAAAGGCAUCAUGAAAAUUGUAAAACUAAAAAUAAUGUAGAUAUUAGAAAUUAUAUGCAAUUAGGUAAAGAUGAAAGUGGAAAUUUAAAAACAUUUUCUUAUGAUGAAUCUUAUUGUUGUGAAGAAAUGAUUGGUUAUAUAAUAAGAGCAGAACAACCUUUCAAUUUCAUGGAAACUCAUGAUUUUACGGGAACAAUGCAACGAGCUGUUAAUCCUCAGUUUUAAGGUUGCUCUGGAAAUACAGUUAAAAGAAUUCUUAUAAAAAAUUUUGAAACACAAAAAGAAAAUUAAAAAUUUUUUUUUGCAAAUUUUGAAGAAAGAAUUUGUUUAACAUCUGAUAUUUGGACAUCUUUAACUCAUAGUGGUUUUUUUAUAUAUAACUGCUCAUUAUAUUGAUAAUGAAUGAAAAUUAAAUAAAAGAAUUAUUUCAUUUAAAAUAAUAAAUGCUCCAUAUAAUGGUAAAAAUAUAGCAUCUUUAAUAAAUGAUGAAAUUAUAGAUUUUGGCAUUCGUGAUAAAAUAUUUACAAUAACAUUAGAUAAUGCUUCUAAUAAUGAUGCAGCAGUAUCUAGAUUAAAACGAUAUUGGCAAAUAAAAGAAGAUCAAUGUAAAAUAUUUCAUGUGCGUUGUUGUGCACAUAUUUUAAAUUUCAUUGUAAAAGAUGGAUUAAAACACGUUGAUGAUACAUUAUAAAAAAUUAGAGGCAUUGCUGCGGGUCUUAAUAGUUCUCAAGCAAAACAUGAAUUAUUUUUUUAUUGUUGCAAAAUGUUAAAUAUGAAAAAAAGAAAUAUAAAUUUGGAUAUGCCCACUAGAUGGAAUUCCACUUAUAAACUUUUACAAACUAUUACAAAAUAUAGAAAAGUAGUAGAACUAUAUGAAAUACAAUUAAUUAACAAUGAUUGUGAAACAAAUAUUGAUGUAUUAAAUGAUUAUUAUUGGCAUAUUGCAGAUCUUUUAAGAGAUCUUUUUGAAGUAUUUGAUACUUCAACAAAAAAUUUUUGUGGUGUAUAUUAUCCAUCUUCAAACCGAGUUGUCAUGCAAAUAACUAAUAUUUUUAUUGUACUUCAAAAAUAUUUAAAUUUGGAUAUAUUUAAUGAUGCAAUAUUUGCAAUGAUAGAAAAAUUUAGAAAAUAUUGGGGAGAAAUACCUUUAAUUUUUUAUCUUGGUUUUGUGGACCCUAGAUUGAAAUUUGAAACUUUGGAUGAAUGGUUAACAAUUAUUUAUUUUAAUGACCAAAUAAAAAUUGAAGAAAUUAAAAAUGAAAUAAAUUCAUUAUUAUAUAAUUUAUAUAACUAUUAUAAAGAAAAAUAUGGUGAUGAUAUUAGUUCUAUUAAAUUACCACCUAUAUCUACAAGUUCUUCAUCUUUUUAUAAAGGAGCUCUAGAAAUGUUAAAAAGUUGAAAGAAGAUAACAAAUAGUUCUCCAAACAACACAACUGAUUUAGAUAGAUAUCUUAAUAUUGAUUUAAUUUCAUUUGAAGAUGAUGAAGAUUUUGAUAUUUUAAUAUGGUGGAAAUCACAACAACACAAAUAUCCUGUGCUUUCUAUCAUUGCUCGUGAUGUACUAACAGUUCUUGUGAGUACAGUUGCAUCAGAAGCUGCUUUUAGUGUAGGUGGAAGAGUAGUUAGUGAUAAACGAUGCAACUUAGCGCCGGAUUCUAUUGAAGCAAAUAUAUGUGUGAAAGACUGGACAAUAGUAGAUAAAAGGAUAUUUGAUUCUAUUCAAGAAGAAAAUAUGCUUGUCGAUAUGGAAAAACUAAAAUCAUCAAGAUCUUCAUGGAUUUGCGAUAGUUCGCCAACACCGCCAAGAGAUAAUGAUUAAAAUAUUUUACUAAAUGUAUGUCAUAUUUUUAUUUUUAUUUUUGUAGUUGAAAAGUACAAAUGAUUGACAAAUAAGUAGGUGCCAACCUAGUUGGGAUGUAUUUAUUUUGUAGUGAUGUAAACUUUUCCCACAUUUUCAAAUGUAACGUAUACAUUCAAUGAAUAAAAUAGUUAGCAAUGAAUAUUUUUAUUAAUGUAGUAUUUUCUAUUUCUUGAAUAUUUAUAUAUAUAUAUAUAUUUAAGUGGCGGGCCUACGGGCGGGCCAGCCCACCGGGCCUAAAUUGGAGCCCAUGGCUCGGUCCAUCCAAAAAUGGGCUCGAGCCGGGCCGGGCCUAGGCCAGGCCGCGGGCUUUUUAGAGACCCUUAUUUCCACAUAUACAGAGGAAUAUGAUUUUUUUUUCUUUCCACUCUAUAACAUUUAUAUAUAUAUAUAUAUAUAUAUAUAUGUUCUGUACAUGAUUGUUUGGGCCAAUUAAACUCUCAAGGGUGUGUGGAACCCUGCACUAGUCUUGUUAUAUACGGUAACUCAACUGACUUUAAAUGGAAGUUGGUGCUUUAACACAUAGCGUUAAUAUGUUUAGUAACUUAAAUUAAUUUAUUAAACAAUUCUAUAUCUUUUUAAUAUGCCAACCAAGGGAAUUAUAGCAUUUUUCUCAUUCAUGCUAAGGAAUUAGUGAAAGUAUGGAUUGUGAAGUUAACAUAUAACAACUCGCGCUUAACUGUAUAGAUAUUAUCCUCUCUAAGUCCUAAAGGGCCCUUACAGCUUUAAAAUGUAUCUACAUGAUUUAGAGAGAUCUAUACUUAUAUAGUAUCAUAAAUUUUCUCUCAUAUUCAAUAUGGGGUAUCAUAAACACCCUCUAUGCAAAUAUAACGUUCUCGUUGUAUUCCAUGAUAUUAUGGGGUAAAACAGAUAAACAAUCCUUAUAGGGCCAAAUAUACCCCCACACCAAGAUCGAUGAUUAGUUCUAAUAUCACUUAUAACGACAUGUAUCUAACCAUGUAGAUAUUUUUCGCUCUAGAAAUUGGAUAUGAGAGAAAGUUUAUGACGUUAUAUAUGUAGAGGUUCCUCUUAAUUCUAUAAACGCAUUUUAAAAUUGUGAAGACCCCUUUGGAUUCAGAGUUGAUAAUAUCUACACAGUUGGAUGAGGUUCGUUAUCUAACAUCUUAUUUUGUUAAUUAAUUUCCAACUAAUUGUCACUAUGUUCAAUGAAUCCCUUCAUCUAUAAAGAAAAGAAAAGGGGGUUGAGUUGGGAGCCUACAAUUUCUCUUAUUGUGGAUGUUUUCUGAAUGCAUUAUUGAGUAGUCAUAGAAGUGCCUUCUUAACUGUCAAUAAAAUUACAUUUGAUCUCAUUGUAACCAUAUCGAGAAGUCGAUACAUGACUCAUAUUGUAAACUCUCUCUAGAAGUUGACUACAAACUUAUUUGGUAAAUUACAAUAGUAAAAGAAAAAGAACACAAAAUAUGCACCUAGCCAAAGUUGGAUGAGAUUUACUUUUGUGAAUAUUAACAUUAAGGCUAUGUUUGGUUCGUAGAAAAUUUGAGAGAAAGAAAAUAGAUAAGAAAAUAAAUAAGAAAAAAAAAGUGAAGAAAAAUAAAAAAAAUAGAGUUGAAAUUGAUAAAUUAUAUUUAUUUACUACUUUAAAUUCAUUUUAUUUAUUUUAACUCAUCAUUAUAAAGAUUAAAAAAUUUAAAAUUUAAAAAUAUAUAAGUUCUUAAUUAAUUUUAAUUAUAUUUAAUUUUCUUGAAAAUUCUUUCUAGAACAAUCAAAUAUAAGAAAAUUAUUUUUCUUGAUAUUUUUUUCUUUUCUUAAUACUUUUCGUGCACCAAAUAUAACUUAAAAGUAUUUUUAUUUUUUAUAUAAAAUAUCACAUAUAAUUUUAUAAAAUCUAUCCUAUUAUUAAACAAAUCAAGGGUCUGUUUAAAAAUAAAUAAAUAAAUAAUUUUCCAUGGGUGUAAAUAUCUCAAAAAGAUAAUAAAAAAGCCACAUUUAAUUUACUAAUAUAAAAAAGUCCACACCUGAUAAAUCUUUUCCACCUCAUGUCUAGGCAGAUAGAAGGGAGAAAGAGACCAAAAAGACCAACUAGCUUUCUGUGGCGGUUGAGUGUUUUGACCGUUGUAGAUGUAAUUCUAUCUCAAUUUAAUCCAGGCAGCUUCUCACUUUCUUCCCCCAAAAAAUCCAUCAAUUACGUACGCACUCCCUGACACCGUGAUCAAUGCUUUCUUCUUCUCAUCUUCAACUUCAAAACUUCCAAGUUCCAAUCCUUUUACGCGUCUCAUAAAGCUAUAUAUGGACUCACAAAUUGUUAUUCACAACACUCCAAGAAUCCAAGUUCUUGCGGUAAGCAGCCAUGAUUAACUGCAGCAUAUAUGAACGCAUAUUCAAGCGCUUUGAUGAAGAUGGUGAUGGGAAACUCUCUCCUUCGGAGCUUCGACGUUGCGUGGGGACGAUAGGGGAGGAGCUACUGAUGGAGGAGGCGCAGGAGGUGGUGGAGUCGAUGGACUCAGACGGGGAUGGGUUGGUGGGGUUGGAGGAAUUUGUGGGGUGGAUGAAGAGAGAGGGCGAAGAGAGAAAGAUGGAGGAGUUGAGAGAGGCUUUUAGGAUGUAUGAGAUGGAAGGGAGUGGGUGUAUUACUCCAAAGAGCUUGAAGAGGAUGCUGAGUAGAUUGGGGGAGUCGAGAAGCGUGGAGGAGUGCAGUGUUAUGAUCAGGCAGUUUGAUGUUAAUGGCGAUGGGGUUCUGAGCUUUGAUGAGUUCAAGCUCAUGAUGUUUUGAUAUUGUAAUGAUUAUAUAUAUGAUUUUUAUUUCCUUUUCCGGUGAAUAACAUUUAUGCCUUAAUUAAAACACUUCAUCGUCUUAUCUAUUAUUAUUAUUGAAACUAAAUAAAAACCCUAUUAGUUACUAUCAAUGACAAAAUAAAAUUUAAAAUAUUAAAAAUACAAUUAAAACUAAAAAAAAUCAAUAAUAAAUAAUGCCAAAACAAAAUAUUGGUUUUCUACCAAAAAAUUAAAAAAAAAAAUAGUUUUCUAUUAAAAGUUUGUCACUUUAUCAAUGUCUAUAAUUUCUUAUAAAAAAAAUAUUUUGAUGGAUCCUAAAUAUUUUCAUAGUGAUCCUUUUCAAUCUAACUCUAGGUCAUUAGUAUAUAUGCAUUGCUUCCAUAAUAAUACCGAAUUUAUUUUUAUUUAAUUAAAUCUUUUUUUCUUAAAUGCGAGAUCAUUAUAACAAAAUCCUUUUAAAUUUAAUUACUCUAUUUGAAUAAAUCGAUUUUACUUAUUUGAAAGAAUGAAAAAUAUGAUAUUUGAUGUUUGAAAAUUCCAUCUUUGUACCUUUAAAAUCUAAUUUUAAAAAGGAUGGAACUUUAAUAUGCUUAAUAACAUAAAUUAAUUUAUCAAAUGCUUAUAAAAUUUUCUAAUAUUUUAAGUAUGAUAAACAAUUUAUUUUUCAAUCUUAUGUAAAAAAUAUUUGCUAAUGUAUUAAAAAUAAAUGUAAUUGGGAAAAAGCUUGUAAGUUGUGUCAUUCAUCCAUGCUGAGGAGUCAGUAGCAGUGUGAAGAAGUUGAUAGGUUGUCUGAAAAACCAGUUGAGUCUUUUGACGUUAGCUUGUUGUUCUACAGAAGAACACUAUUUUUUUUAUUUUUUUUUAUUUUAUUUUUUAUGUUUUAAUUUUGUAAACAUGUUUCUCGUUUGUCGCGUCAUAUCCACCUCAUGUCCGGGUGGAUUGAAAAAGCAAAAGGCUAGAAGAAAAGUAUUCUAUUCUUAGUAAAGUCAAUACGCACUCCGUGACGUCCCCUCCAGAACUUCCUAGUAAAGUUCGAUUCUUCACUCUCAAAAUCUCCAUACCCAACAGCUCUAUCUACUCCUUUUACGCGUCCCCACAACAGCUAUAUAUAUGCACACACAAGGUGUUCAUCCUCACAUCUUCACAUCUUACUACAAAUUAAGUUUUAUUCACAUUAAUUUUCAUUAACAUCCUUGUGUUGCGACAGCCAUGAUUAACUGCAAUGUGUAUGAACGCAUUUUCAAGCGCUUCGAUGAGGAUGGUGAUGGGAAACUCUCUCCUUCGGAGCUCCGACGCUGCUUGGGGACGAUAGGGGAGGAGUUGCUGAUGGAGGAGGCGCAGGAGGUGGUGGAGUCGAUGGACUCGGACGGAGAUGGGUUGCCGGGAUAGGAGGAAUUUGUGGGGUGGAUGGAGAGAGAGGGUGAAGACAGAAAGAUGAAGGAGUUGAGAGAGGCCUUUAGAAUGUAUGAGAUGGAAGGGAGUGGGUGUAUUACUGCAAAGAGCUUGAAGAGGAUGCUGAGUAGAUUGGGGGAGUCAAGAAGUGUGGAAGAGUGCAGUGUUACGAUCGGACAGUUUGAUGUAAAUGGGGAUGGGGUUCUGAGCUUUGAUGAGUUCAAGCUCAUGUUGCUUUAAUCUUGUUUGAUACCUUCCAUGUGAAUUUUGUAUUAUUUUUAGGUUUAUAAGAGUGAUUUGUAUUCAAGAUUCUUUCUACAUACAAGAGGAAUAUGAUUUUUUUCUUCUUUCGGUUUAUAACUCUAGACAUAAAAAUUUUAGUGGAUUAAAUUAUCACUAAUUUGGUCUUAAAAAAUUGAUAAAUAAAAAUAGAUAUCCUCUUAUGGAUAACUUUUCUAAAAAAGAAACUAAUCUCCAACUAUAAAAAGGAUAAUAAUAAAUAUAUUAUUAUUAUUAUUAUUAUUAUCAUGUUAGUACAUUAUUAGAAGUUGCUAAAAUCAAGAAACUAAAUCCAUUAAUUGGGGAAUUCAAAAUUCAAAUUCUCUAUCUUCACGUAUAAAUAGAAGUGAUUUCUUUCAAGAAAAAGAGGGAGAAAUUAAAAAAUAAAAAUCUAAAAAGGAAAAUCUUAAGGAGAAAAUCCAAAGACGAUUUUAGAAUCAUCAAAUCUCCUUGACUACUACAUGUGUUCUUCACCAUUAAACGAGUUCAUUUAGGAAUAAGCCACUUGUGGCCCUCAAUUGAUCUUCGAAAUAAAAAAAAAAGGCCAUCGUUGUUUUUCAAGUUGUGGACAAAGCGAAAGAAUCGGAGAGAAAAUAUUCUUUUGUGAAGAAUAUUAUAUUUGAGAUUGUACCCACAAUAUUUUUAAUUUCAAUAAAUAUUUUGUUUGCAUUAUUUUCCUAUUUGUUUUACUAAUUUUACAAAAUUUGAGCAUACAAUAACAUUUAUAUGUAUAUAUAUAUAUAUACUUUACAUGAUUGUUUGGGGCAAACCCUGAAGGGUGUUUAGACCUACACUAAUCUUGUUAUAUACAACGAUGAUGACAAGUUUUACUAAUCAGGGGACUAGGAUUCUAAGAAAGAAGAACUCAAUUGACUGUGAAUGGAAGUUGGUGCUUUAACGCAUAUCGUUAAUAUGCUUAAUAACAACUCUAAAGGUCUGUUGUUUAGGAAAAUAGCAACUCUAAAGGCCUCAUCCCAAUAUUUUAGAGGCAUAGAAGCUUUAGCUAAUAAAAUGAGACCAUUUUAUACUAUGUGACGAUGUUUUCUCUUCCCAACCCCAUUUUGUUCAUGAGUAUGAGGGCAAGAAUUUCUAUGAAUUAUACCAUGGGACAUUAAGAGAUCAGUAAAAGCUCUAUCUUGUCCUCCCCAAUUAGUUUGAAUAGCCUUUAUUUUAUAACCAAGCUAAAACUCAACUUGUGUUUCAAAAUUUGAGAAAGUUUGAAAAGCAUCUGACUUAUGCUUUAACAAAAAAAUCCAAGUGAAACAAGAGAAUGCAUCUAUAAAGUUGAUGUAAUAUCUAUAGCCACUAGAUGACAACAUUGGAGAGGUCCCCAUAAGUCAAAGUGAACCAAUUGUAAAGGUUUUGUGUAGGUUGUAUCUGACAAUCUAAAAGGAAACGUAUGAAUUUUACCAAAGCAACAAGCUAAACAAAAAGAAUGAGAAUUUGAAUCAAGAAGAGGUAUUUUGCAAUUUGUGAGUACAACUUUUAGAACUUUCUUAGAAGGGUGGCCUAAUCUAUCAUGCCACAAAUCAUACAAUGAACAGGAAUGAGAGAGAAUAGGUACAUGAAAGGCAAUGAUAGAUGGUGCUGGAAUUGGGACCUUUGAGGAAGACAAUGAAGGUUGCAAUAGCUGGUUAAGAUGAAUUUGAACAGAUGAUGCUAGAAUUGGGACCAUUGAGAAAGACAAUAGAGGCUGCAACUGCUGGUUGAGAUGAAUUUGAGUGUGGUCAAAGACAUAAAAUCCAUUUUUAAGAUUUCCCUCCAGUAGCACAGUUUUAGAAGUCUGAUCUUUCACAAAACAGGAAUGUGAGUGAAAUUCAAAGAAAACAUCAUUAUCAUGGGCGAACUUCGAAACACUAAGUAAAUUUUUUGUUAUAGUUGGGACAUGUAAGAGUUGCUUAAGAGAAAGAAUUUUAGAAGUAUAAGGAGAGGAAAAGAUAGAUUGACCAACAUGCUUAAUGGAUAAAUCCAUACCAUUUCCAAUAUGAACUUGAUCUGAUCCAUAAUAUUCGGCCUUAGUCAUCAAAUUUGUAGCAUCAAAAGUAACAUGAUUGGAAGCUCCUGAGUUAGGAUACCAAUUGGUAUCAUUAACAACUUUUGGUGUAGCAAACAUGGCUAUCAUUUGGCCUCCUGCACCUUGUAAUUGGCUUUGAAUGAAAGAUUGUUGAUUCUAGAAUUGAGAUGGUCCUAAGAAACUCUUAUCAAAAUGAUAAUAAUAGUUCAUCCCCACAUGCCCAAUCUUUCCACAAAGUUGACGUUGAGGUUUGUUUUGAGACCAAAAACCUCUCCCACCAAAUUGACCAUUAAAGUGGCCUCCACGACCUCUUCCUCGAUUGGCAAAACCAAAACCUCCUCUAGCAUUGUUCUGAAAAUUGCAUUUUUUACCAAAAAAAAAACUGACCACUAAAGGUGUUUGGAGCACCAAAGUUGGAAUUGGAAUUUUAUGCAAAACCAUUAAUAUACCUUUUUAUGCUUUGCUGAGAGUUUUGACCAGUAACAACAAUAUUUGCUAAGCUAGGUUAUGCAGAAUCUAACUCCUUAUUCUUUUUUUCUAUCCUAGCUUCUUGAGUCAACAACAAGGAUUCUAUAUCAUCAACUAUAUAAGGGUCUAUGCGUGACUCAAUUGAAAGAAUAAAGUUGUCAUAGUCUGGUGAUAAACCCUCAAAUAUGACAUUGAAUGGCCAACUAAUCCUAGAAAAUCAAUACAACCUCUAAUCUUUAACAAAUAUUCAUUCAUAGUCAGAAACUCUUUUCUGGUGUUUCUCAAUUGUGUUUUAAAUUGAAACACUUUUGCUCGAAUUUGAACAGCAAAAUAUCUUUCCAAAUUAAGUUCGCCAUACCUGAGCAGAGUUCUCACAGUUUACCAUAUGUGUAAGAAUCCCUUCAGACAUUGAAGAAAGAAGCCAAGACAACAACAAUUGAUCUUGUUGUUCCCAAUCAAGAAAUUCUGGAUUAACAUUGUCCAUUUCUUCAUCUCUUAGCGUAAGAAACUUCAAUGGUGGGGGUUUUGUUCCAAACACAAAAUUCUGUAAUUUGUGCCCUCGAAUUGCUACAAGAACCUGCUUUCGCCAAAGCAAGAAGUUGUUGUUAUCCAAUCGAACCGAAACAAAGUGACUAAAGGAAACAAGGAUGAACCUUGAAGCAGAUGAUGAGGCUCCACCCAUGGUGGAAAUUGAAAAGCUCUCUAUUGCUGGUAUUUCAAAGCUCGGAUACCAUAUUAGGAUUUAAGAAAACAAAGGAAAACAGUGGAUUUUGGAUUGAAGAAAAACAGAGGACUUAUUAUUCACACUGUGGAAACUAGUUACAAGAGCUUCUUUAAAUAGAAGCUUAUAAUAAAAGAAUAUUUAUUUCUAAUUCUCUCUUUAUUUCAAUUAUUUGGUUUGAUUUUAUUUUGUAAUGACCCUUUUAAAUUUCAUGUCAAGUCUUUAAUGUCUAGGGCUCAUUACUUGUCAAACUCAAAUUUUUUUAAGUUAAAAAAUCAUAAUUUUGAAGACUGAUUUAAUGAUAAUUUAAUCUAUCAAAAUUUUUAAUGUAUAUAAUAUCAUAGAAUAAGAAAUGCUUUUAUUAAGGCUAUCUUUGGCUCUAGUAAAUUUGAGAAGAAAAAUAAAGAUAAAAACUAGAAAGAAAGAAAAAGUAAAAAACAAAAAUGUUUUAAAAAAUUAAAGUCUAUAAAUUAUUUUUAUAUAUUAUUUUAAAUUAUCUUAUUUAUGUUAACUUUUUUACAAAAUUAUUAAAUAAUUUUAAAAUAUAUAAAAUUUUAAUUUAUUUUAAUUCUAAUUGAUUUUCUUUUGUAUUAAAGUACACAUGAAAAAGUCAAUAUCCAGAUAAUGAUGUAACUAUUAUAUUUAUUAAAAAUUUAACUAAAUAAAAAUUAACUAAGGUGUUAUGAAAAAAUAUAUAUUUACUAAUAUAUUUAAAAUAUGUAUAUAAUUGGGAAAGUUUAUAAGUUGCAUAUGUUAUUCAUCCAUGGAAGUGUGGAAGUGUGGAAGUGGGUAGAAAGUAGUGGAAGUGCGUAGAAGUUGAUAAGUUGACUGAGUUUUGAAGGAGUUCAGAAGUUAGCUUGUCAUUCUGCUGGUUUCCAACCCAAGGCCACUAUUUUUUUAAUUUUUUUAAUUUUUUUAAUUUUGUAACAUCAAGUCUAAGGUGAUGUUUGUUUUUUUACUUAAUUCUAAAUGGAACCUUAAUACUUAAUAGUAUUAAAUAUUAGGUUGUUUGUUUUUAUAGUAUUUUAUUUCUAUUAAGUAUUAAAAGGUAAAAAAAACCAUUGUGUUAUUUUUUCUAUUUAGAAAAAGUCACAUAUUUUAGCUUUUUCUAUUUAGUAAAAAGUUUAUAAUAAGUCAUGAAAAAGUAAAAAACCAAACAACCUAAAUUCUAAAACUAAAUGAUUUUCAGCAAAAAGUCAAAAAAACAAACACCACCUAAGUCUAACAUGUCACUCGUUUGUUACGUCAUUUCCACCUCAUGUCCAGGCGGAUUGAAAAAACAAAGGCCAGAAGAAAAGUAUGUAUUCACGAGGUGGGUUUGACCGUUCUACAGUAAAAAUUCCAGCACAAUGCCUAGCAAUUUCUCCGUGAUGUCCGGCUCCUCCAGAACUUUCUAGUGAAGUCUCGAUUCUUCACUCUCAAAACCGCCAUACCUAACAGCUCCAUCUACACCUUUUACGCAUCCCCACAACUGCUAUAUAUAUGCACACACAAAGUGUUCAUCCACAUAUCUUCACAUUUGACUACAAAUUAAGUUUUAUUCACAUUAAUUUUCAUUAAAUCCUUGUGUGUUGCGACAGCCAUGAUUGACUGCAGCAUAUAUGAACGCAUAUUCAAGCGCUUUGAUGAAGAUGGAGAUGGGAAACUCUCUCCUUCGGAGCUUCGACGCUGUGUGGAGACGAUAGGGGAGGAGCUGCUGAUCGAGGAGGCGCAAGAGUUGGUGGAGUCGAUGGACUCGGACGGGGAUGGGCUGUUGGGGAUGGAGGAGUUUGUGGGGUGGAUGGAAAGAGAGGGUGAAGAGAGAAAGAUGGAGGAGUUGAGAGAGGCCUUUAGGAUGUAUGAGAUGGAAGGGAGUGGGUGUAUUACUGCAAAGAGCUUGAAGAGGAUGCUGAGUAGAUUGGGGGAGUCAAGAAGUGUGGAAGAAUGCGGUGUUAUGAUCGGACAGUUUGAUGUAAACGGGGAUGGGGUUCUGAGCUUUGAUGAGUUCAAGCUCAUGAUGCUUUAAUAUUGUUUGAUAUCUUGUAUGUGAAUGUUGUAUUCUUUUUAGAAUUAAAGAGUGGAUUGUAUUCGAGAUUCUUUCC